GCCCAAGAUCAAAAUGAACCAGAAGAGAAACAUCAGGAACAGUUAUGUGAGGAAACAUUGGAGAUGCACACGAUUCUGAAUGUUACAUCCAUUCUGCUGAAUUUUGUGCUGAUUAUCGCAAUAAUAGGUCUGUUAAUGCUCAAACUUAAGAAGCCUAGAAAAAGUCGACAACAAGCCCAGAAUGUCCAACCAGAACAGAUCGAGGACUUAAACAACACACAGUAUUCUGAAAUCGAGUUACCCACAUGUUCCCGAAGAGAAAAUCCUAUUUAGAUAAACGGCACUUACGCACUUCUUCAGAAUACAAAGCCACGUUCUGGAUCAACACAUGCUGAAAUCAUCACAUCGUGAAACAUGCAAAGUUUAUAAUAAGGUCUGACACCUUCCCUGGGUGUAUCAUUUUCGGUAUGAGUGAGUUUUAUAAAGGUCAAUGUAUUUCUGUCACUCUUUGAAUGAAACCAUGUUAUUCGCUUAUUUAUAAAAUGCAUAAUUUGGAUGUUAUAAAGACAUUUUAACAUAUCUAUCUUGAUUAACGUGGUUACGGUUUACAAUAAGGUUCAAUGCAUUAACAUUAAAUUACAAUGGAAAAUACUUAUUAAUCCUGGUUAAUGUUUAUUCAUGUUAAUAAACUUAACUAUUAUGAAGUAUAUUAUAUAAGUUUUAUUGUAUUGAUUGUUAUUGAUUUUAUGUGGUUAACCAUGCUGGAUUAGGAUGAUGUAGUUGGUCCCCAGACUGGCCAAAAUGGUGUUUAGCUGGUUUCCCAAAUCUGGACAGCCAACAAAUACCCAAAACACAUCAAAAACCAUCAAACUAGGUCAGAAAACUUGUUUUAAGAGAUAG
Long non-coding RNA from Carassius gibelio (silver crucian carp), 840 nucleotides. RefSeq lists it as uncharacterized. The record is from RefSeq and is a predicted model, not a curated record. NCBI's taxonomy places the organism in Eukaryota, Metazoa, Chordata, Actinopteri, Cypriniformes, Cyprinidae. The transcript has 3 exons.